CGUGCAGGCGGAGUGUCAGGUGUUGUGUGAAAGCCCCGGGCUCAACUCGGGAAUGGCACGGCAAACCGGCAUUCUUGAGGCGGGUAGAGGUGACUGGAACGACUGGUGGAGCGGUGAAAUGCGUAGAUAUCAGUUGGAACGCCAGAGGCGAAAGCGAGUCGCUGGACCCGUCCUGACGCUGAGACGCGAAAGCGUGGGUAGCGAACA
RNAcentral lists this ribosomal RNA (207 nucleotides) under uncultured bacterium. RNAcentral describes it as "partial 16S ribosomal RNA". It matches the Rfam family "Bacterial small subunit ribosomal RNA", at positions 568 to 774 of the family's 1533-position model. The record is from RNAcentral.